Molecule: transfer RNA, 72 nt
Filed under: Ovis aries (sheep)
Lineage: Eukaryota; Metazoa; Chordata; Mammalia; Artiodactyla; Bovidae
Rfam family: tRNA
About the family: Transfer RNA (tRNA) molecules are approximately 80 nucleotides in length.
Source: Rfam by way of RNAcentral
UCCCUGUUGGCUUAGACGAUAAAGAAUCUGCCUGCAAUGCAAGAGACCUGGGUUCGAUCCCUGGGUGGGGAA